RNAcentral lists this transfer RNA (73 nucleotides) under Mycobacterium sp. Its description in RNAcentral is "tRNA-Arg". It matches the Rfam family "tRNA". Rfam says of the family: Transfer RNA (tRNA) molecules are approximately 80 nucleotides in length. Their secondary structure includes four short double-helical elements and three loops (D, anti-codon, and T loops). The record is from RNAcentral. RNAcentral also lists the same sequence under 12 other names. Lineage: Bacteria; Bacillati; Actinomycetota; Actinomycetes; Mycobacteriales; Mycobacteriaceae.
GCCCCCGUAGCUCAGCGGAUAGAGCAGCCGCCUUCUAAGCGGUUGGUCGCAGGUUCGAUCCCUGCCGGGGGCG